RNAcentral lists this long non-coding RNA (408 nucleotides) under Pongo abelii (Sumatran orangutan). RNAcentral's name for it is "lincRNA". Lineage: Eukaryota; Metazoa; Chordata; Mammalia; Primates; Hominidae. The record is from RNAcentral.
GGCUCCGGGGAUGGUUCUUCCCGUUCUUUGCGCCGCCUUCACCCAUUGAAGGAGCCUGUGCCCACCCUGCCCAGUCGCUGUGGGGGCCGCUGAGGAGCUUCCGCUGCCAUCUUCAGAUCUUGUGUUCCUCACAGGGGCUCCACCAGGGCAGGGAUGGUGCAGAAUGGGGAAAUGGAGAGAGAACCUGAAAGAGCCCCAAACUCGAGGACCUAUUGCUUCCCAAGAAUAACAUCUUCCAGAAGAACCAGACAGAAAACUAGGCGUCUGGGAACCCUGAAAUCCUUGCAGGAGUAGCAUCAUCAUGACCCUCUCUGUUCCUUUUGGCAAAGGACUUGCCUCCAUUGUUUGUUUGUUCAAUUGUCUUGUCUGUUAAAUAAAUAAAACCCUUUUCAUAUACCUUCAAAAUUA